CAAAGCUGCAGUAUGCACUACUCUAAAGUAUGUUUGGCAAAGUACCCCAUACAAUGAUGAACCUUGGUAUAACCAAAAGACUCAGAAAGAGCGAGAGACCUUGAAGGUUUUAAAAAUGUUCACCGACUUCCUAUCAUUUAUGGUUCUAUUCAACUUUAUCAUUCCUGUCUCCAUGUACGUCACAGUAGAAAUGCAGAAAUUCUUGGGCUCCUUCUUCAUCUCAUGGGAUAAGGACUUUUAUGAUGAAGAAAUUAAUGAAGGAGCCCUGGUUAACACAUCAGACCUUAAUGAAGAACUUGGUCAGGUGGAUUAUGUAUUUACAGAUAAGACUGGAACACUCACUGAAAACAGCAUGGAAUUCAUUGAAUGCUGCAUAGAUGGCCACAAAUAUAAAGGUGUAACUCAAGAGGUUGAUGGAUUAUCUCAAACUGAUGGACCUUUAACAUAUUUUGACAAAGCAGAUAAGAAUCGAGAAGAGCUGUUUCUACGUGCCUUGUGUUUAUGUCAUACUGUAGAAAUCAAAACAAACGAUGCUGUUGAUGGAGCUACAGAAUCAGCUGAAUUAACCUAUAUCUCCUCUUCACCAGAUGAAAUAGCUUUGGUGAAAGGAGCUAAAAAGUACGGGUUCACAUUUUUAGGAAAUCGAAAUGGAUAUAUGAGAGUAGAGAACCAAAGAAAAGAAAUAGAAGAAUAUGAACUUCUUCACACCUUAAACUUUGAUGCCGUCCGGCGACGUAUGAGUGUAAUUGUGAAGACUCAAGAAGGAGACAUACUUCUCUUUUGUAAAGGAGCAGACUCGGCAGUUUUUCCCAGAGUGCAAAAUCAUGAAAUUGAGUUAACUAAAGUCCAUGUGGAACGUAAUGCAAUGGAUGGGUAUCGGACACUCUGUGUAGCCUUCAAAGAAAUUGCUCCGGAUGAUUAUGAAAGAAUUAACAGACAGCUCAUAGAGGCAAAAAUGGCCUUACAAGACAGAGAAGAAAAAAUGGAAAAAGUUUUCGAUGAUAUUGAGACAAACAUGAAUUUAAUUGGAGCCACUGCAGUUGAAGACAAGCUACAAGAUCAAGCUGCAGAGACCAUUGAAGCUCUGCAUGCAGCAGGCCUGAAAGUCUGGGUGCUCACUGGGGACAAGAUGGAGACAGCUAAAUCCACAUGCUAUGCCUGCCGCCUUUUCCAGACCAACACCGAGCUCUUAGAACUAACCACAAAAACCAUUGAAGAAAGUGAAAGGAAAGAAGAUCGAUUACAUGAAUUAUUGAUAGAAUAUCGUAAGAAAUUGCUGCAUGAGUUUCCUAAAAGUACUAGAAGCUUUAAAAAAGCAUGGACAGAACAUCAGGAAUAUGGAUUAAUCAUAGAUGGCUCCACAUUGUCACUCAUACUAAAUUCUAGUCAAGACUCUAGUUCAAACAAUUACAAAAGCAUUUUCCUACAAAUAUGUAUGAAGUGUACUGCAGUGCUCUGCUGUCGGAUGGCACCGUUACAGAAAGCCCAGAUUGUCAGAAUGGUGAAGAAUUUAAAAGGCAGCCCAAUAACUCUGUCGAUAGGUGAUGGUGCCAAUGAUGUUAGUAUGAUCUUGGAAUCCCAUGUGGGAAUAGGCAAAGAAGGUCGCCAAGCAGCUAGGAAUAGCGAUUAUUCUGUUCCAAAGUUUAAACACUUAAAGAAACUGCUAUUGGCUCAUGGACAUCUAUAUUAUGUGAGAAUAGCACACCUUGUACAGUACUUCUUCUAUAAGAACCUUUGUUUCAUUUUGCCACAGUUUUUGUACCAGUUCUUCUGUGGAUUCUCACAACAGCCACUGUAUGAUGCUGCUUACCUUACAAUGUACAAUAUCUGCUUCACAUCCUUGCCCAUCCUGGCCUAUAGUCUACUGGAACAGCACAUCAACAUUGACACUCUGAGCUCAGAUCCCCGAUUGUAUAUGAAAAUUUCUGGCAAUGCCAUGCUACAGUUGGGCCCCUUCUUAUAUUGGACAUUUCUGGCUGCCUUUGAAGGGACAGUGUUCUUCUUUGGGACUUACUUUCUUUUUCAGACUGCAUCACUAGAAGAAAAUGGAAAGGUAUACGGAAACUGGACUUUUGGAACCAUUGUUUUUACAGUCUUAGUAUUCACUGUAACCCUGAAGCUUGCCUUGGAUACCCGAUUCUGGACGUGGAUAAAUCACUUUGUGAUUUGGGGUUCUUUAGCCUUCUAUGUAUUUUUCUCAUUCUUCUGGGGAGGAAUUAUUUGGCCUUUUCUCAAGCAACAGAGAAUGUAUUUUGUAUUUGCCCAAAUGCUGUCUUCUGUAUCCACAUGGUUGGCUAUAAUUCUUCUAAUAUUUAUCAGCCUUUUCCCUGAGAUUCUUCUGAUAGUAUUAAAGAAUGUAAAAAGAAGAAGUGCCAGGGUAACGAAACGCCUCCCUUCCUCAGGAACAUCUACUAUCUUCAUGCUUUCUCAAACUUCCAGCAAUCACAGUUUCUCUUGGAGUGAAUAAGAGAAAUCUGAGCUGUAGAAGGGCAUCUGACUCAUUAUCCGCCAGACCUUCAGUCAGACCUCUUCUUUUACGAACAUUCUCAGACGAAUCUAAUGUAUUGUAACAGAAUCCGAAUCUUGAACUGCCUAUGUUAUUGUCCUACAAGCAUACUGACAGUGGUUACAGCUAAAAAAGAAAGCAUGAAGAAACAACUACAAAAAGUUAUCAUCUCAGGAUACUUGAUAUGCAACACACUAAACCACUCUCAUGUCUAGAGUUCACAAUAAAUGUUCAUGAAAAUACC
RNAcentral lists this small RNA (2750 nucleotides) under Pongo abelii (Sumatran orangutan). RNAcentral's name for it is "processed transcript". Lineage: Eukaryota; Metazoa; Chordata; Mammalia; Primates; Hominidae. The record is from RNAcentral.